This 490-nucleotide ribosomal RNA is filed under the name uncultured bacterium. RNAcentral's name for it is "partial 16S ribosomal RNA". It matches the Rfam family "Bacterial small subunit ribosomal RNA", at positions 30 to 507 of the family's 1533-position model. The record is from RNAcentral.
AUUGAACGCUGGCGGCAGGCCUAACACAUGCAAGUCGAACGGUAACAGAAAGCAGCUUGCUGCUUUGCUGACGAGUGGCGGACGGGUGAGUAGUGUCUGGGAAACUGCCUGAUGGAGGGGGAUAACUACUGGAAACGGUAGCUAAUACCGCAUAACGUCGCAAGACCAAAGAGGGGGACCUUCGGGCCUCUUGCCAUCGGAUGUGCCCAGAUGGGAUUAGCUAGUAGGUGGGGUAACGGCUCACCUAGGCGACGAUCCCUAGCUGGUCUGAGAGGAUGACCAGCCACACUGGAACUGAGACACGGUCCAGACUCCUACGGGAGGCAGCAGUGGGGAAUAUUGCACAAUGGGCGCAAGCCUGAUGCAGCCAUGCCGCGUGUAUGAAGAAGGCCUUCGGGUUGUAAAGUACUUUCAGCGGGGAGGAAGGGAGUAAAGUUAAUACCUUUGCUCAUUGACGUUACCCGCAGAAGAAGCACCGGCUAACUCCGUG